ACAGAGGUCUCAAGCGUUGUUCGGAUUCAUUGGGCGUAAAGGGUGCGUAGGUGGCAAGGUAAGUCGGGUGUGAAAUCCCGGGGCUCAACCCUGGAACUGCACUCGAUACUGCCAUGCUCGAGUACUGGAGAGGAGACUGGAAUUUACGGUGUAGCAGUGAAAUGCGUAGAUAUCGUAAGGAAGACCAGUGGCGAAGGCGAGUCUCUGGACAGUUACUGACACUGAGGCACGAAGGCCAGGGGAGCAAACGGGAUUAGAUACCCCGGUAGUCCUGGCAGUAAACGGUGCGCGUUUGGUGUGGGAGGAUUCGACCCCUCCUGUGCCGGAGCUAACGCGUUAAACGCGCCGCCUGGGGAGUACGGUCGCAAGAUUA
RNAcentral lists this ribosomal RNA (373 nucleotides) under uncultured bacterium. RNAcentral describes it as "bacterial SSU rRNA". It matches the Rfam family "Bacterial small subunit ribosomal RNA", at positions 525 to 896 of the family's 1533-position model. The record is from RNAcentral.